CUGGCUUCCGUUCCUUGCUGGUCCUCCUGUUAACGCGCUGCCGCUGUGGUCUUAGGUUUCACUCUCCUCUUCCCGUCCGUCAAGAGAGACAAGGAUGACACAAUCCACAUUUAUUGAUUGCUUUCUUCAUUCCGGGUAGUCCGCCUGCUGCCCUUUGAUUCAGUCUUAACAGUGGUUGGUGAGGUAGAUGUUCCUGUGCCUCACGUUUACGGAGGCACAGAGAGAUUACAUUACUUACUCAGGGUUCCAAGUGGCAGAGCUGGAAUUUGAACCCAAUACUUUGUUGAAGCCUCAGUCUCCGAUCUUGAGACUGCACCCAGCUGCCUGGGUCACGGAAGGCAAAGAUGACAUCAUUGAUCGAGCUCUUUGCAAAACAGUUCUCUACACGGGCACACUGUUGUAACACUGCAAGGAUUAUUUGCUCACCUGUAAAAUGGGGCUAGAGGUAGCUUCCCUCGCGAUCUCCUAGGGUGGCUGUGGGAAGCUCAUGUGAAAAGGUUUGCAUUGCUAAUGCCAUGAAAAGUGGUGGAGGGAGGUCAAAUAAGUUUAACACACAUUGACGGAGCAGCUCUGAGUUGCAGCCCUCCUAUUCAGUUCCUGAACUUCCAAAAUAAAAGACUAAGGUUUUCAAGGCGUUCACAGCCUAGAGAAGCAUCAAAGGGUGGGGAUGAGGAUGAUGUGACUGAGUGGGCAAAGAUGGGCAGGGGCCUUGCAGUCAUCAUCGUCCAGUAAAGUGUUAAUCUUAACCUGAACAAGUCCAACCAUUGAGAGGUAGCCAAAGAAAGUAAGAGGGGCUCAGGAUCCAUCAGUGACUGGCCUGGCUUCCAAUCCCGGCUCUUUCUCUUCUUCCCCUUGGGCAGCGUCCGUUCUCUCCGCUGUAAGAAUGGAGCAAGCGGUUCUCACUGUGCAGAGUGGUGGAUCCAGAAAGAGCAUUGUAACUGUCCUCCUGUAGUUCAAGUCCUUUAUGUUACAGAGAGAGCAAUGUCUGCUGAAGGAGAGUGAUUUGCACUGUAGAGGAAGAGCGUCAGAGAGAUUUGAGGAUUACAUGUAGUAGAAGGACCUGACAGUUCUCUUGCAGGAUCUCCUUCCCAGCCUUCAGAAAUUGCCGGUCUGGGAGUUGGGGGCAAGGAGAAGAUCCUGCAACCCAGUGAUUCCAUGGAAAGCAGAAAGAAGGACAUAAAGAAACGGAUACUUGGUGACAUCUUUGACUCACUGGAUCAAACCUUGCCUGAAGCUCACAUUUCUGAAAUUUCCAGAUACAAGAACAAAUACUUCCUCUUUAUUGUUUUACUAGAUUUGAGACAAGCUUUAAGUUUCUCAGACUCUUCCUCUUCCUAACAGAUUUAUCAGAAGCUGAAAGCUCUGAUCUUGUUGGGAUGCGGAUCGUGUCAGGAGAAGGCUUACUUUGCACGCUUUUCUUAGUCUGGUUGCCUAACUCAAGAACCUCGGCAUGGCUCUGUUACUUCUCUACUCAGACAAGCAUCCCUGCAGACACUCACUAGGCUAACUCUGUCUUUAUUUUUAGAAUUAGACCUUUACGAGAAGCACAGUUUUGUCUUCAGUUUCCUCUCCCCCCACCCGGAAUGGCCUGAGCCGAAGCCAGCUCCCUCCGAGAAGUCAUUACCGCCUGACUUGCGUUUGAUAUUUAGACACCUUGGUCACAACAUCUUGCAUUCUCUCGGGAUGCUGAUUUCUAACUGCUCUUUGGCCUUUCCUGCAUUGGUCCUCCUCAGGCAGGGGAUCCCUGCUCUUCUAUAUUAGUGAGAAAACCAAGGCUCAGAGAAACUGUGGAUUUUCUAAGGAUGCUGGCUCCCCGUCCCCUGUCCACCAUGAGUCAAAGCAAUGUGAGUCCCUCACCAGAUGCAACUGCCCAGUCUUGGACUUUCCAGUGACCAGAAUCAUGAGCCAAAUAAACCUCUUUUCUUUAUGAA
RNAcentral lists this long non-coding RNA (1931 nucleotides) under Homo sapiens (human). Its description in RNAcentral is "HSALNT0381859". Lineage: Eukaryota; Metazoa; Chordata; Mammalia; Primates; Hominidae. The record is from RNAcentral.